GACGAACGCUGGCGGCGUGCUUAACACAUGCCAGUCGAACGGAAAGGCCCUGCUUUUGUGGGGUGCUCGAGUGGCGAACGGGUGAGUAACACGUGAGUAACCUGCCCUUGACUUUGGGAUAACUUCAGGAAACUGGGGCUAAUACCGGAUAGGAGCUCCUGCUGCAUGGUGGGGGUUGGAAAGUUUCGGCGGUUUGGGAUGGACUCGCGGCUUAUCAGCUUGUUGGUGGGGUAGUGGCUUACCAAGGCUUUGACGGGUAGCCGGCCUGAGAGGGUGACCGGCCACAUUGGGACUGAGAUACGGCCCAGACUCCUACGGGAGGCAGCAGUGGGGAAUAUUGCACAAUGGGCGGAAGCCUGAUGCAGCAACGCCGCGUGCGGGAUGACGGCCUUCGGGUUGUAAACCGCUUUCGCCUGUGACGAAGCGUGAGUGACGGUAAUGGGUAAAGAAGCACCGGCUAACUACGUG
This 468-nucleotide ribosomal RNA is filed under the name uncultured bacterium. RNAcentral's name for it is "partial 16S ribosomal RNA". It matches the Rfam family "Bacterial small subunit ribosomal RNA", at positions 28 to 507 of the family's 1533-position model. The record is from RNAcentral.